RNAcentral lists this long non-coding RNA (3075 nucleotides) under Canis lupus familiaris (dog). RNAcentral's name for it is "lncRNA (ENSCAFG00845012491.1)". Lineage: Eukaryota; Metazoa; Chordata; Mammalia; Carnivora; Canidae. The record is from RNAcentral.
UUUUUUUUUUUUUUUUUUUUUUUUUACUCCUUGGCUCCUCCCUUAUGCAAUAAAUCAUUCUGACCUCUGGCACAGCCAAGGAAAUAGUUACAGUCACUUCUACAAUCUUAAAUUUUUUCCAGUAACUGUUACAAUUUUGAAAAUUGCAAUGCAUUUAGGGAAACACAAACUCUUUAUUUUUCCCCUAAUUGUUUUUCAUUUAAAUACAGAUAUUAGGUACACAUAUCAGAGCGGGAAACUGUUCCCACUAGUGUGUUCAUCUAAUUUAGGUGAUGGAAGCUAUUCAAGAACUGUCUUUUGCUAUGAUCUUGGAAAACUCACUUGACAAAUUUAGACUAAAUACCACCUCUGCAGCAGUGACUUUAAUGGUUAGCACCUGUGCUGAGAAUUUCAUAGUCCUUCUGGACUGCCAAAAGCUUCAUCUCCUUGUGAACUUUCCCAUCAUCUAAAACUUAUCAUGAACUCUCAUCAGUCUUAACCAUAUGCUUCACAUUUGUGAAUGUAUCACUCAUGUGCUUCUAUAAUCUGCACUUGUGAUGGUUCAGAGUUAAAUAGCAACACUGAAAUCACAGGGUGUCACAGAGGAAUCAUUUCUGCUCAUUCGUAAUAGUGAGUGUGAAAUGGAAGUGGUCAAGAGCAGGAGAUAUCAUUUUCCUUGAAGCAACCGGUUGUAAAGAAGACUUGUGUCAGGUAAUAACACCAUUUUCCAUAUAGGAAUCUGGAACCAAGGUAUUGUCCUGUCCUUUCUCUCUCUGCCAUUUUUAUAUCCACAGUAUUCCUUGAAUCAUCUUCUUCUUGUCUUCUGCCACUUUUCUAGUUGAAUCAAAAUCACAGUUCAUCAGUAUUAGUGAAAUAGACUUCUCACUUGUCAUCCUGUGUUAAUCUUGUCCAACUUAAAUCCCUAUUACCGCCAAACUGAUUUAUAUUUUUGUUUAAAAUGUUAAAUAUUUUGAGUUACAGAAAACUAGACAUUCCUUCAAACUCCCAUCCACUCAUCACUCACACAUUCUUUCUUAUGGCUUCAGAUCACUUACAGUUGUAGCUAUUGUCUUAUAAAGCACUUUAAUGCCAGUAAUAGAAAUGCUUUAUGUGCUCAUGACGAAGGUACUUUAAUUAUCCCUGUCAGCCUUGGAUGCCAUAACAAAAUACCACAGAUUGGGUAGCUUAAGAAACAGAGAUUUAUUUUCUCACAGGUCUGGAGGCUGGGAGCCUGAGAUCAGGGUGGCAGAUUAGUCAGGUCCUGGUGAGAGCCCUCUUCUUGGCUUGCAGAUAGCUACUUUCUGUGUCCUCACAUGGCAGAGAGCUCCCCAUGUCUUGAUGCCAUUAUACUGGGAGUUAGGAUUUUUACAUACAAAUUUUCAGGGGGCACUGUGGAGUCCACAGCAAUUCCUGGUUUAGAGAAAGGAUUGAGGUACACAGACUUCAGGAAAAAGGAAAUAAGCACAGAAAGGUUAAGUAAUUUGCCCAAGGUUAAUAUGAAGCCAGGCAGUAUAGUUUCAAAGCUGAUAUUUUUAGCCAAUAUCCUAUCACCUUUUAAAGAAAAAUAAAGCAUUACAAAAAUAGUGAAGUUAAAGGCUUCUUCUUACUUCUCCAGAGGUAACCACAUUUUGAAAUCUGUGUAUUUUCCCAUCCUCACAUAUUUAUAUAGCUGUGUACAUAUAUAUGUGUUUAUAAUAUAGAUGCAUAUAUACAUAUGUAUAUAACAUAUGCAUAUACAGAUUCACAUAUACACCUAUCUAUAUCACCUAUAUUUCUAUAUGUCUAUAACAAAUUUAAAAUACGUAUAUAUUUAAUUCACAUAAAUGGAAUCAAAUGGUACCUUUGUUUCCAACCCUUUUUCUCACUUGAUGAUGUUUUAUGAGCCCUAUGUUUAUUGCAAAUUCUUAUUUACCACAUGUACUUUAUCAGUGUUUCUUAUCCUCAUUCUGUCGUUUCCUCCUUAGUCAUCUUGAAUUCCAUGACUGAGGAAUGUCAUCACCCCCUUGAAUACAUGUUCAACCUCCCGGCCCUCCCUCUAUUUCAUCAAGCUUGCCUGUCAAUUACCACAGAAAUGGUUCCACCCAUUCCUCCCCUACACCCAUUCUGCACAUGAACCUGCUCAGAUGAACAUGGCAACAGAAGGUUGUGAGUGGUCUCGCUUCAUAAUUGUUAUAUUUAUUUUACAUAAAGGUUGAAAAACAAUUGUAAACUUAUGAUUGGUAAUUGUGUAGCCUGUUACUAAUAGCUAACAUCAUGUUAAUUCUUCAUUCAGUCCUCCAGGUUAUUCUGUGACUGUUUUCUAUCUUCCCCUUUCUCCUCAAACCUCCAUCAUUCCAGCCUUCAGCUAGUGAUAUCACUUUCUAUUCACGUAAAAAAAAUGAAAGUAAUUAUUAAAAAGGUUCUACACCCACCUAUUAGAACACCUGCCCACAUACCUUCACCUGUGUGGUGUGCACUUGUCCACAGCUCUCCUGCUGAAUGAUCAACUGCCUGUGUUUCUAAGGUUUUGACCCUUUCCCACAAAUACCAGGCUUUAAUCUGGGGCAUUACCCCAGCAAUUCUUCCUUUUCUCCUGCCUUGUACAUUUUCUCUCUACUGAAUCAUUUCUUCCAUCAAUACAAACAUGCUACAAUAUAAAAAACAAAAUUACAGACCUCUCUCAAGCCCACAUUUCUCUUCACCCACUCUCCUAUUAAAUUAUUCUGUUUUUUAACAAAACGGUCUGAUUCCUCUCCUUUCACUUGUUCUUGAACUCAUAUCAAUCGUGUUUUCACCUAUAACACUCCUGCCCAAUGCUAUACCUGUCAAGACCAUCAGUGACUUCAUGUUUACUAAUUUGAAGCCCACUCCUCUUCUUAUUAACUCAUCUACACACACCUUUAGCACAGUUGGUCACUCUUUUUGCAUUUCCCUCCUUAGCUAGUGUGAUUGAUUAUUUUUAUGGUAUUUUAGUGAAUAAAAUUGCUUCUUCUCUGUAUUAUGUGUUCACAUCCUUGGCCCUUAUUAUUAUUAUUUUUUAAUUAGGAAUUUGAGGGCAGCCCCGGUGGCUCAGCGGUUUAGUGCCGCCUUCAGUCCAGGACGUGAUCCUGGAGACCU